Molecule: long non-coding RNA, 8260 nt
Filed under: Gallus gallus (chicken)
Lineage: Eukaryota; Metazoa; Chordata; Aves; Galliformes; Phasianidae
Description: lncRNA (ENSGALG00010001053.1)
Source: RNAcentral
CUCAGAAUCCUAGUUGUGAUCACAGUCUGCCUUCACAACCCACACUAAAAAGAUGAGUUCUUCAUAGAAGAAUCAAGAUGGCCUAGUUAGAGGCUGAUCUUCUAGAGAGGAGCUCUGUGGAGAAGGACUUGAAUAUCCUAGUGGACAGCAGGUUGACCAUGAGCCAGAAGUGUGCCCCUGUGGCCAAGAAGGUCAAAGAUAUCCUGGGGUACAAUAAAAGAAGUGUGUCCAGAAGGUUGAGGGAAAUGAUCCUCCCACUCUACCCUGCCGCGCAGAGUGCACGUCUGGACUACUGCAUCCAUUUCUGGGCUCCUCAGUUCAAGAAAGACAGUGAACUUCUAGACAGAGUCCAGCACAGAACCACAACAAUAUUUAGUGGCCUGGAACAUCUCUCUUGUGAGGAAAGUUGUUGCAAUUGGACUGAAGCGAUUGCUGAUAGGAGAACAGACUGACAGAAGAACUCACUGAGAGCAGCUCUGUGGAGAAGGACUCGGGGGUCCUGAUGAAUGAAAAGCUGGACACAAGCUAUCAGUGUGCACUUGCAGCCCAGAAGGACAACUAUAUCCUGGGCUGUAUCAAAAGAGGAGUGAGCCAGCAGAGUGAGGGAGAGGAUUGUCCCCCUCUACUCUGCCUUUGUGAUGUCCCACCUGGAGUACUGUGUGCAUGCCUGGGGCCCCUACUACAAGAACAAUGGGGGGCUGUUGGCGUGGGUCCAGAGAAUGGCCAUUGAGAUGAUCAGAGGCCUGGAGCACCCGUCCUGUGAAGAAAGGUUGAGGGAGUGGGGCUUGUUUAGCUUGGGGAAGAGAGGACUAUGGGGAGAUCUCAUUACGGUCUUCCAGUACCUGAAGGGAGCUAACAAGCAGUCUUCUUUCACAGUCUGAUAGUGACAAGACAAGGGGGAAUGCCUAGAAACUAAAUGAGAGUAGAUUUAGGUUAGCUUCUAGGAAGAAAUUUUUUACUCAGAGGAUUGUGAAGUGUUGGAAACAUAUGUUGCCCAGAAGGGUUAUGGAUGCCCCAUCCCUGGAGGUAUUGAAGGCCAGAUUGGCUACCGCCCUGGGUAACCUUAACUGGUGGCUGGCAGGGUUGUCAACCUAAGCCAUUCCAUGAUUCUAUGAUCCUAUGAAAGGCCAAGAGACCUUGGACUAUUAAGCCUGAAUAAGAGAAGACUGAGGGAGGAUCUUAUCAAUGCUUUAAAUAUCUACAGGGCAGGAGUCAAGUGGAUGGGGCCAGGCUCCUUUUGGCAAUGCCCAGUGACAGGACAAUGGGCAAUGGGCACAGACUAAAACACAGGAAGUUCCAUCUGAACAUGAGAAAAAACAACUUUUUUUGGAGGGUGACAGAGCACUGGAAAAGCUGCCCAGAGAAGUUUUGGAGCCUCCUUUUAUAGAGAUACUCAGAAGUCUCCCAAAUGCUUUCCUGUGUAAUUACCUCUAGGCAACAUGCUUUAGCGGAGGUGUUGGUCUAGAUUAUCUCCAAAGAUCCCUUCUAACCCCUAUGGUUCUGUGAUUUUGAGAUUUUUAGGCAUUGGCAAAGUACUAAUAGUGAAGGACAAAUUUUCAUAGUGAGAAUUCUGGAAAGCUGGAGCAAAUUAUUGAGAAUGUAUUUUCUUUGUAUAAAAUAUUUAGAUGUCCCUUAUCUUUCAAAUCAUUGUUGCUUGACAGUCACUGUACAGUGAUUUAAAUAAAUAUGACAAACUGCGCUAUUACCCACACAGUAGGGAUAACACAGUUGGAGGUAUAAUUCCUCCAUCAUAUAUUCUAGCUCAAAGGUUGGUGUGCAGAAUUAACUCCAGUUACAUAUACAAAUCUGGAGCAUGACCUUGUGUGACUGAGGUGCAGGCUAUAUCAUUCUUUGAUUAUCCCUGCAUCAGAAAUAGUAACUUCAGGAAAUUCUGUAAGGUUGAGAGACAGCAAUGAUGACUUGUUUAACACUCAUAACAUUCAGCAGGGCUGGUCUGGAAGACCAUCAAAAUACAUAAAUAAGUGAUAACCUUCAAAAGAGAUGUUACGCAUUUCUGAACAUAAGGUAACAGGAUGUGUAACUAUAAAAUUCUUCUUGUUUAGGAUUGUGAGAGAUGAUACAGUUUUAGGUGCUGGAAUGAAAAGGCUUUGACAUAAGCAGAGAAUGAUUUUGAGGGAGAUAAGGUGUCUUUCACCUGUUUUUAUUAAACUGUGAAAUUAUUUACUAUUGUAUAUAGGAAAGACUGGUAGUGGGGGUGUGGUUUGUAUGGGUGGCAGAGGGAAAACCAAUUUCAGAGGGGAGGAAGCAGGAGGAGGCAGUCCAUGGCAGAGGAUACAGUCACUGUAGUCCAGGGAGAGCCCGCACUGGCACAGAUUUUUCCUGACAAGAGCUGAAAUCCUAACAAAAACUCAGAAGGGAAUAGAUUCCACAGCCCCCCCCCCCCCCCCCCCCCCUCCCCCCGCCAAGGAACUACAGCUUAUGGAUAACUGACUAACCCACAAUGGAACAGGGAAAAUGUGUUAGGAAAUUGGAAAUAAGUCUUGUUUAAUGCUUUUUUUUUUUUUUUUUUUUUUUUCCUGCUACCAGGGAAAGGUCACAAAGUUGAUCAGAGGGCUGGAACAUUUCCCCUGUAAGGACAGGCUGAGAAAGCUGAGGUUGUUCAGUCUGGAGAAGAGAGGAGGGCCUACAGAAAUUCUGGGGUGAGAUAUUUUAUAAGGGCGUGUAGCAACAGGAUGUAGGAAAAUGGCUAUAAAAUGGAAGAGAGUAGAUUUAGACUAGUCAUAAGGAAGAAUAUAAGAAAUUAUAAGGAAGAAGUUUUUCUCUGUGAGAGUAAUGAGACACUGGAACAGGUUGCUCAGAGACAUUGUGGGUGUCCCCUCCCAGGAGGUGUUCAAGGCCACGCUAGAUGGGGCUUUGAGCAACCUGGUCUAGCAGGAGGUGUCCUUGUCCAUGGCAAGGGUUAGAACAACACAUUCUCUAAGGUCCCUUCCAACACAUACCAUUCUGUGAUUCUAUGAAAAUUAGUAAUGACAUUUUUAUUUUACUUGGCAACAAAUUCACCACAUCAAGAUGUUUUGCCUGCAGUGGUAGUUAGAAAGCAAUCUACCUGUCUUAAUCUUGAUCCUUCUUGUUCUUUCUGCUUUCUAAUCCCAUCCUACUGCAGGAGGAAUUAAGUAAGCAGCUAAGUAAGCAUUUGGCUUUUAGCCAAGUCUAACCCAUCUUGUUGCUCUUAAGAAUUUCUGCCUUGUUCUUGCCUCCUAAAUAUUUAGUCAUCAGGUCCAGUUUCCACCUUGGACAUGUCAAUAUUCCUGCAAAGUACAACUAAUUUUGUAAGUAAGUGUAAAUAAGUUCAAAGUGAUCUUGAAAAUUUAAACUCAAAGGUACUUUUCUCUUUUUCUUUUUUAUUUUAAUAGCAGAUAGGCUAGGCUAUGCUCUAUGCUUGCCUAGAAGAUUUUAUCAGGAUUUAGAAACAUUAGAGACACUUCAACCCACUUUCUCCUCUUCCUUUUGUGACACACUUUAGUUUUUGUCACAUAUAAAAUGGAAUAAAAAUCAUCAAUAGUACUAAAAUGAAUGUCUGUCUAAGAAUUACCAUUUCUGAUGCAGUUGAUGUAGCACAUGUAAAAAGUAUAUUUUGCUUUGGUCUGAUGGAAAUGUGCAUCUGAUUUAGAAUAAUUUGUCUUGCUACUUGAGCAAACAAAAUGUAAUUAAGUUGCCUAUAACAGCUAAGAAUAAUAGCUUCUCAUUAAUAUUGUUACCUGGGUGUUAAAAAACCUAAAGCAAGGCAAAUGUAAUGAAUUUAGCAAGUUAACAGAAUUGCCUUUUUUUUUUUUUAAGCAAUCUUUUCAUGCCACUGUAUUUGAGAUGGUGUCAGCAUUGCUAUUAUAAAUAAUUUAAGCAUUUAUAACUCAGUAAGAGAAGAGCACUAGUUCAGUCACAUUCUAAAUGAGUUAUUUGCUCAAUAUGUCUUCAAGGCUUAAGGGAACAUAAGAUAAAACUUACAUUUUCCUCUAGGGGCAUUAGUAAUUAAGCUAGAUAUUCAACUUUAACCAGACAAUUAAAAAAGGUUCCUCAGUGCUACUUUGAAUGCAAAGUUUGUCUAAACAUGAUGUACUUACAUGCAGGAUAGGAUGAUUUUGGGAGGUAUUCCAAGAACAGAAACAGCAGUGACUAUCACUGCUUGUCAAAUAAUGAAUAAUAAGAGUUGUCCUGCAGAGGACAAGUGAGAGGUCAGAGGAAGAAGAUAGCUUUUUUUCUUUUGUUAACGGAUGGUGCAAAAAUUCUAUGUUACCAUUCGGAUGGAGAAAAUAUAAGAUAUUGUUCUAGGCCCCUUUCCAAAAAAGCACUUAUACUUUCAUUUGUGUGGUAGUGAACAGUCUUGCUGAUUUCAGCCACUUUUCACAUGGCUAAAUUGAAGCACACACUUACAGAACUGUUGGAUUGUUGCUGAGACAGAUGCAUACUUAGGAAGCAAAAGAGCAGUAAGGUUGAAAUUAGUAAUUCAGUCACAACACUAGCAUCAUUCUCAUGAUGCAUAAAAGCAUUAUUUUUCAACAUUCACUUCUCUUUCUGAAGGACUGGAAACAAAUAGCAGGUAAUAAUCAGAACAGUUUAAAUCUGCAGUUUAGUAAUUCAAAUCUUAUAUGAUAAUUUUUUGCAUUCUCACUCUUGUGCCAAAUUAAAAGUUUUGAAAUAGAAUUAAUGGAGUUAGAAUUCACAUGAGAAUUUGUUAAUUGCUGUGAUAAAAAUAAUGAGACUGACAGGCUUGAGAACUGGGCCCUAAUGAGGUUCAACAAGGGCAAGUGUAAGGACUUGGGGGGUCCUGGUGGAUGAGAAGCUGGACAUGAUCCAAUAGUAUGCAUAUGCAGCCCAGAGGGCCAACUGUAUUCGGGGCUGCAUUAAAAAAGGAGUGGCCAGAAGGGAUAGGGAGGUAAUUGUCCCCUUCUACUCAGCUCUUGUGAGACUGCCUGAACCCAUCUUUGGCUUUGGCUUUGGCUCAAAGCUUGCUUUCUGAGGCAUUUCUUGUGAUAAGACUCUUACUUAUCUAGGAGAUGAGAGGUGCUGUGUGGCAGUGGGCAUCACUGUGUGGACUAUUUUACAUUUGAAAACAUUUCUUUGGAGCUGUUUGCCUUCUGAAGAGAAUGCUCAGGACUGUUUUCUGGCGGAAGAUCUGUCCUGUGACCAAAUAACUCCAGAUUGCUAUGGCAGACUGGGGGGAUGAUACCAUUGUAUCCUGUGAAGGCAAGAAAUAAGGGGGUGCCUCCCUGCUCCCUCUUGUCUGCUGGCAAGGCCCAGAAGAUGGGAACAAAAGGAGUUCCUGCUGUGAUCCAAAAGCCAGCAGCUGUCACUACAAAAGGAGCUGACUAGGCCACUUUGGACUUAUAAAUAAGCUUGUACUGACAUUGGAAAGAGUCGUUGUCAUCGUCGCUGUCAUUAUCGUCAAAUGAACAACAACCCCUGAUGACCCAUCACUACUGAAGAUCAACAUCUGAACUACGAGCAGUGCUGGAAUCCAUGGUGCUAGACAGAGGCCCCAUCUGGAGUACUGCAUCCAUGUGUGAGGCGCCCAGCACAAGAAAGACGCAGAGCUCUUGGAACAGGUCCAGAGGAGGACCACUAAGAUGAUCAGAGGGCUGGAGCACCUAUGAAGAAAAGUUGAGGGAACUGGGCUUGUUUAGCUUGGAGAAGAGAAGGCUCCAGGGAGACCUCCCUGUGGCCUUCCAGUACUUAAAGGGAGAGUAUAAACAGGAGGGGGUACAACUGUUUACAUGGGUCGAUAGUGACAUGACAAGGGCAAUAGUUUUAAACUAAUACAGGGGGAAUUUAGGUUAAAUAUUAGGAGGAAGUUUUUCACUCAGAGGGUGGUGAUGCACUGGAACAGGUUGCCCAAGGAGGUAGUGGAUGCCCCAUCUCUGGAGGCAUUCAAGGCAAGGAUAGGUGUGCCUCUGGUCUAGUCAUUGGUGACCUUGCCCAUGGCAGGGGGGAUGAAGCUAGAUGAUCUUUGAGGUCUUUUUCAAUCUAGGCCGAUCUGUGAUUCUAUGUUUUGCAGUAGAUGAGCUACUGCUGGACAAUUUCUGCAUGUAUCAUUUUUAAAAGAAUUUACACUGAUUACAUCAGAACAUUCAGUCUUUCUUGACAGUCUUUUUUCUUGUUAUUGGCAGGGCAGUAAUUACUACAUAAAAAUAUGUAUGUAGGAACAGAGAACACUUUAAGAACUUUGUUAUGAGGUAAAUACUAGGCAAAAAAUAUAAAAGGAGAAUUUGUAAUGAGCACAUCCGAUAAUACACAAAAAGUAUAUUUUCUUCUUUUUUUUUCCUCCCUCUCCUAAUGAGGUUCUGAAUAAAAUCAUUUAAAAAUGAUCCUUCCUUUUGUGUUAAGAAAGAGAGCUUCUUCUAUCGCAUGUCCAUAUCACUUGAAGUACUACUCUAGGUAUUCAAAUGAUUCCAAUCCCUUGAAAUCAGCAUGAGCAGAUAGAAGGCAAACCUGAUGAAGAGCUCGUUAGGCAAUCUCAGAAAAGAUUUUGAAGUGAUAAACUAUUUUUGCUGUUUUCACAAAUUUUCAGGUAUAAAGUCCUAGGUUCUGUUUCACAUGGAGCAGACAAAUCACCUGGGAAGCUGAUGCCCUUUGAUGAAGAGAAAGCCUCUAAGACUUUCUUUAACUCUGCAUCAAUUCAUAGGAAAGAAGUUUUGGAACCAUGGCUCAUAGAGCUUUUAACCUUUUGUGGAGACUGCCUGAUGAGGUUCUGCACAGAUGCCUUUAUGGAAUGAGAGAAGUUCUAUGAGAGAGAGAAGAACAUUUCAGCUUCUUGUGCUGCCCUGCCAGUGAGGAGACGGGGGGUGCAAAGAAGCUGAGGUGGGACAGAACCAGGACAGCUGACCCAAAAUGUCCAAAGGAAUAUCCUAUACCAUAUGACAUAGUUCUGACAAUAAAACUGGGAGACUGAGUGAGCUGUGUCGUGCUGAGCUGCCUGCCAGGGUUAAACCACAGCAGUAGUGCACCCAACAGAGGACUGGAAGAGUUUGAGAUUAUGACAGAUUUGACUGGAGUAUGGAGCGUGCUACACCAAAUGCAUAGUUGUUAUACUCUUCAGCUGCUAAUUGGUAUGCUCCCGCAGUUUUCCUGGGUCUUGCUUGCCUUACUGUAUUUUGGAGUCUACUAUCUGUUAGUGGAUGCUUUUGCUCUGUCUUCCCUCUCCACUUUCUACUUUCCACUCUCCCCUCUCCUCAGAAAACAAACAAACAAUAAUAGUAAUAAUAAUAGUAAUAGUAAUAAAACAAAACAAACAAACAAAACAAAACAAAACAAAAAAACCCGGAGGUUUUUAAUCAGUAGAUGGCAGUAAGAGCUAGCAAGAAGCCUGAAAGGGAGUCUCACAGACCUACACAUUAAUCAUACAUAUAGCAAAUUCCACAAAGUACAAGCCGACAAAGACCCUGCUUUACCACAAUCAAUCUUUAUUCACCACUAGAUUACAGUGGUUAGAUAUAUUUGAUUGCCACAGGUCCAAGAAAAAGCUUAUAAAUAACUAUAAAUGUAAUCGGCUUAAAUUUUUGCCAUUGUAUUUUUUGGUUUUAUUUUUGUUGUAGGCUGAGAUUGGGGUGCAAUCUGUUUAUCCUUAGAUUUGUUGUAUGACCACCCAGUCCAUCUGUCACCUUGACUUUGAAGCUGUAAUUUUAAUGUUUGGCUCUGUAAAUGUUUAAAGCAUCAUUACAAAUUUACAAAGGGAAAGAUACUGCUAACGGUGCAGCUGAAAUAAGACUGUCUCAGCUCACUUGUCUUUACUCCAAGACUUUCACUGCUGUGUGCCUGUGUUUUAAGCUGAAAUGAUAUCACAACAGUGAAGUAAUGCUGCAUUGUACUGCAGGAUCCAUUUUGGACAGCUCUAUUCUCUAGCCUGCAUUGCUUUUUCAAAAAGUCACAAUGUACAAUGGAUGUACACUUUAUUCACUUGUGAAAGGUAUGAAUUCAUGUAUUUUUCUAACAUACACUCAGCAAAAAAAGCAGUGUAAGUAUACUUGAAAAAAAAAAAAAAAGAAAAUAGAAUAAUAAUGUUGAUUUACUUUCCAGCUCACUAUCUAUAUAUAGUUAGAAAUGUAUAUUUAAUUUUCUGUAAAUUUGCAAGCUUUUUAACUGUGUAAUAUAUAUAAAAUUUGAAAUCCACACUGUAUUUCUCUGUUUGACUCUAUUUGUUUAAGCUAUGUAUUUGUGUACCAAUCAGACCUAUGAUAGUUUUAUUUAACUUCACAGUCCUUUUUCUGUGAAAGAAAAUUGUCUUUUUCUGCUUCCCAUUCAGUAGUAC